UUUGAAAUCUGGCUCUUUCAGAGUCCGAGUUGUAAUUUGCAGAGGGCGCUUUGGCUUUGGCAGCGGUCCAAGUUCCUUGGAACAGGACGUCACAGAGGGUGAGAAUCCCGUACGUGGUCGCUAGCUAUUGCCGUGUAAAGCCCCUUCGACGAGUCGAGUUGUUUGGGAAUGCAGCUCUAAAUGGGAGGUAAAUUUCUUCUAAAGCUAAAUAUUGGCCAGAGACCGAUAGCGCACAAGUAGAGUGAUCGAAAGAUGAAAAGCACUUUGGAAAGAGAGUCAAACAGCACGUGAAAUUGUUGAAAGGGAAGCGCUUGCAGCCAGACUUGCUUGCAGUUGCUCAUCCGGGCUUUUGCCCGGUGCACUCUUCUGCAGGCAGGCCAGCAUCAGUUUGGGCGGNGGGAUAAAGGUCUCUGUCACGUACCUCUCUUCGGGGAGGCCUUAUAGGGGAGGCGACAUACCACCAGCCUGGACUGAGGUCCGCGCAUCUGCUAGGAUGCUGGCGUAAUGGCUGUAAGCGGCCCGUCUUGAAACACG
RNAcentral lists this ribosomal RNA (534 nucleotides) under soil fungal sp. DM2-220. Its description in RNAcentral is "eukaryotic LSU rRNA". It matches the Rfam family "Eukaryotic large subunit ribosomal RNA", at positions 114 to 663 of the family's 3401-position model. Lineage: Eukaryota; Fungi. The record is from RNAcentral.